UACGUAGGGGGCAAGCGUUGUCCGGAAUCAUUGUGCGUAAAGAGCGUGUAGGCGGCCUGAUAAGUCGGCUGUGAAAGUCAAGGGCUCAACCCUUGAAUGCCGGCCGAUACUGUCAGGCUAGAGUCCGGAAGAGGCGAGUGGAAUUCCUGGUGUAGCGGUGAAAUGCGCAGAUAUCAGGAGGAACACCUAUGGCGAAGGCAGCUCGCUGGGACGGUACUGACGCUGAGACGCGAAAGCGUGGGGAGCGAACAGG
RNAcentral lists this ribosomal RNA (253 nucleotides) under uncultured bacterium. RNAcentral's name for it is "partial 16S ribosomal RNA". It matches the Rfam family "Bacterial small subunit ribosomal RNA", at positions 524 to 776 of the family's 1533-position model. The record is from RNAcentral.